AUUGAACGCUGGCGGCAUGCUUUACACAUGCAAGUCGAACGGCAGCGCGGGCUUCGGCCUGGCGGCGAGUGGCGAACGGGUGAGUAAUGCAUCGGAACGUGCCCAGUAGUGGGGGAUAGUCCGGCGAAAGCCGGAUUAAUACCGCAUACGACCUGAGGGUGCAAGCGGGGGACCGAAAGGCCUCGUGCUAUUGUAGCGGCCGAUGUCGGAUUUGCUAGUUGGUGGGGUAAAGGCUUACCAAGGCGACGAUCCGUAGCUGGUCUGAGAGGACGACCAGCCACACUGGGACUGAGACACGGCCCAGACUCCUACGGGAGGCAGCAGUGGGGAAUGUUGGACAAUGGGGGCAACCCUGAUCCAGCCAUGCCGCGUGCGGGAAGAAGGCCUUCGGGUUGUAAACCGCUUUUGUUCGGGAAGAAAUCCUCUGGGCUAAUACCCCGGGGGGAUGACGGUACCGGAAGAAUAAGCACCGGCUAACUACGUG
RNAcentral lists this ribosomal RNA (484 nucleotides) under uncultured bacterium. RNAcentral's name for it is "partial 16S ribosomal RNA". It matches the Rfam family "Bacterial small subunit ribosomal RNA", at positions 28 to 507 of the family's 1533-position model. The record is from RNAcentral.